RNAcentral lists this transfer RNA (56 nucleotides) under Schizochytrium aggregatum. It matches the Rfam family "tRNA", at positions 10 to 63 of the family's 71-position model. From Rfam's summary of the family: Transfer RNA (tRNA) molecules are approximately 80 nucleotides in length. Their secondary structure includes four short double-helical elements and three loops (D, anti-codon, and T loops). Lineage: Eukaryota; Bigyra; Thraustochytrida; Thraustochytriidae. The record is from RNAcentral.
GCUCAGUUGGCAGAGCGUACGACUGUUAAUCGUAAGGUCGUGAGUUCGAACCUCAC